GAAGUCGUUACUUCAACCCUUGUGGAGGAGGACGCCGAAGGUGGGGCUAAUGACUGGGGUGAAGUCGUAACAAGGUAGCCGUACCGGAAGGUGCGGCUGGAUCACCUCCUAACAGGGAGACAACAAAAUGUAAAUAUUAAUUUUGUCACCUUAGGUCGAUCGGUAUCUCAGAUUCUUAUUAUUUAAGAAUUUCAGUUUCUAAGUUUUUUCUAGGUCACACCCAUCACUUUUUCCUGGGCCAUUAGCUCAGGUGGUUAGAGCGCACCCCUGAUAAGGGUGAGGUCCCUGGUUCAAGUCCAGGAUGGCCCAUAUCUCUAUGUUGGGGGUAUAGCUCAGUUGGUAGAGCGCCUGCUUUGCAAGCAGGACGUCAGCGGUUCGAGUCCGCUUACCUCCACUGAAUACCACCUCUUACAUAUAGUUAAAGUGGGAAAUUGUUUUGAGUCGUGUCCUAAUUUGCUCUGAGCGAAUCUAGCUUCCUAUUUUAUCCAAGAAAUAAGAUGCUGGACUCAUUGAAUUUUCUUUCAUUGUUUUCAGAGAACCUUGACAACUGCAUAGAUUAUUUUUAAAGACAAUAAGCAUCUUUAAUGAUGCAGAUUUAUUAUUUGUGCGAAUGCAUUAAAUAACAAUUCUAUUAAGCUGAUGCUUCAAUUAUUGAAGUUAUUGGUCAAGCUACAAAGGGCUCACGGAGGAUACCUAGGCACACAGAGGCGAUGAA
This 715-nucleotide unclassified non-coding RNA is filed under the name uncultured cyanobacterium. Its description in RNAcentral is "partial contains 16S ribosomal RNA, 16S-23S ribosomal RNA intergenic spacer, and 23S ribosomal RNA". The stretch from base 1 to 112 matches the Rfam family "Bacterial small subunit ribosomal RNA", at positions 1423 to 1533 of the family's 1533-position model. Lineage: Bacteria; Bacillati; Cyanobacteriota. The record is from RNAcentral.